This 355-nucleotide non-coding RNA is filed under the name Theobroma cacao (cacao). Its description in RNAcentral is "Eukaryotic small subunit ribosomal RNA". It matches the Rfam family "Eukaryotic small subunit ribosomal RNA", at positions 1190 to 1442 of the family's 1831-position model. Lineage: Eukaryota; Viridiplantae; Streptophyta; Magnoliopsida; Malvales; Malvaceae. The record is from Rfam by way of RNAcentral.
UUAAUUUGACUUAACGAGCGAAAACUCAUCAAGUCCAGACAUAAUAAGGAUUAACAAAUUUAGAUCUCUUUCUUGAUUAUAUGGGUGGUGAUGCAUGGUCAUUCUUAGUUAACAGAGUGAUUUGUUAGGUUAAUUUCGUUAACAAACAUGGCCUUGGCCUAAUAACUAGCUACCUGGAGGUGAUUUUCCAUCGUAGACGCUUGUUUUCCAAUUUAGCCUCCCCACAAACCUUAUUGUGUUGACCCGUUGAUGCUUUCACUGCGACCACAAUUUAGUCGUGAUUAAGCUAAGUUGAAGCAUAUUAAUAAGCAGAGGAAAAAAACUUACAAGGAUUCCCCUAGUAAUGACGAGAGAA